Molecule: microRNA precursor, 151 nt
Filed under: Oryza brachyantha (malo sina)
Lineage: Eukaryota; Viridiplantae; Streptophyta; Magnoliopsida; Poales; Poaceae
Description: MIR812 microRNA precursor family
Rfam family: MIR812 microRNA precursor family
Source: Rfam by way of RNAcentral
UAUAAUUUUUUACUCUUCGUCUUAUUUAAAUUUUUUUGUGAUUGAUAUUUUUGUUUUUAUUAAAUAAUAAAUCAUAAAUAGUACUUUACGUGUGACUAAUUUUUUAAAAUUUUUUCAGAUAAGACGGAUGAUUAAACGUUGGACACGGAAA